UAUGGUUUAGAGUUUAAGAUUUCAUUAGGGUUUGAUUUAGGGUUAGGAUUUGGUUAGGAUUUGAUUUAGGAUUAGGAUUUGGUUAGGAUUUGAUUUAGGGUUAGAAUUUAUUUAAGAUUUGAUUUAGGAUAAGAAUUUGCUUAGGAUUUGAUUUACGAUUUAGGAUUUGAUUAGGAUUUGAAUUAGAGUUUAGGAUUUAUUUUAAGAUUUAAAGUUUGAUUAGGGUUUGGUUUAAAGUUUAGGAUUUGGUUUGGAUUUGAUUUAAGGUUUAGGAUUUACUUAGAAUUUUGAUUUAGGAUUUAAGAUUUGGUUAGGAUAUGAUUUAGGAUCAAGGUUUGAUUAGGAUUUGAUUUAGAGUUUAGAGUUUAGUUAAGAUUUGAUUUAGGAUUUAGGAUUUGAUUUAAAAUUUAGAAUUUUAUUAGGAUUUGAUUUAAUUUUAGGAUUUGAUUUAGGAUUAGGAUUUGGUUAGGAGUUCAUUUAGAGUUUAGGAUUUUAUUAGGAUUUGAUUUAGAAUUUAGGAUUUUAUUUGAGUUUGUUUAGGAUUUAAGAUUUAGUUAGUUUUUGGUCUAAAGUUUGAAUGAAGUCCAAUAGGAUUUUAAAUAGGAUUAAAUUAAGAUUGAAUUGAGAUAUAUUUAAGAUAUAUUUGUGAUAAUUCUAAUAUUUCUUCAAUAUUUCUUAUUAUUUCUUUGUAAUUCCUUUGAAGUUUCUUUGAAUUUGAUUAAAGCUUAUUUAACAUUGUUAUGGUCUAAUUAGAGUUUAAUUAGUAUUUUAUUAGAAUUAGGAUUUUGUUGUUGUAAUUUCCAUUCUACCCUCCACAAUUAGGUGCUCGAAGCAUUCUCAAGUAAGACUUCACGUAUUAAGACACCAU
This 868-nucleotide long non-coding RNA is filed under the name Physcomitrium patens. RNAcentral describes it as "long non-coding RNA (PPAT_LNC005202)". The record is from RNAcentral. Lineage: Eukaryota; Viridiplantae; Streptophyta; Bryopsida; Funariales; Funariaceae.